AAAAUUGACCGCGUAGUUUUUGAGUUAUGGCCAUAGCAACACCAUAGCAACGAGGGACGCGCCGUCCUGCCGACCGCUACCUCAUGACGUAACUUCCAGGAAGCCUCGCCACCACUCUGAACACGGAAAUAUAGCACCACGCUACCCUCGCCGUAUAUUGCAAACAUUUUCUGGGUUUUACUCGCGGGAUUCGUCAUGCCAUCUCCAUGUGUAGCGAUGAAUUGCUCACAGGAAGACUCGAGACUCUAGGAGUUGUCCAAAAAAACUUUCUCCUGCAAAAGCCACAACAGCUUUGAAAACCUACAACAAUGCAACCUUGGUUUUACAAAUACGAAGCCAAACAUAAAAAAUUAAGCGGCGGAAACCCUCAACACGAUGAAAAAAGCGUUGCAAGUCAGUCGCCACCCAGUUUCCCAAAAUCAAGAGAGAGUGGGUCGAGUCAUAUGAUGACCCAAGUGAUGCGGUGUCCAGCGAUGACGACUGAAGAUAUCCUAUGAGGCCUGCCAGAUCCUGAAUUUCUUCCGUCUGCGACAUCAGAUGAUGAUGACUUAGGAGAAAUAAAUGUAGCAAAUUUUGAGGAGAUGAAAUCAUAAACUAGUCAUAUAUACAGUACACAUUUUUAAAAGAAAAAUAUACCUUCACAUUUUAAUGAUAAUGCAUUAUCUUUGUAUAGAGAACACUUAAUGCCACAGAAAAGAGUAAAUACAUAUUUCCCACUGCCACUUUCAUUUUUCAAUGUUGCGCUAGUCCGUUGCUAUCCUAACUUUGUGUUGCUUACUAAAUUUAUGUUCUUUGAUGUGUGCCAUUGUGUGUUUGGUAUAACUUAGCUUAUAUAGUUGGGAGAACAAGUAUUCGAUACACUGCCAAUGGGUUUUCCCAUUGGCAAUGUAUCAAAUACACUGCCAAUGGGAAAACACACUGCCAAAUGGGUUUUCCCAUUGGCAGUGUAUCAAAUACUUGUUCUCCCCACUGUAUGUUGUGUCACAAUCUGACAGCGAAAGCUGAUGCUGAUUCAACAUAAAUCUGGUAUCAUUUAUUAUUGUGGCCUAUUGAAUUUUU
This is a long non-coding RNA of Corythoichthys intestinalis (scribbled pipefish), 1059 nucleotides long. RefSeq lists it as uncharacterized. The record is from RefSeq and is a predicted model, not a curated record. The transcript is spliced from 3 exons. Lineage: Eukaryota; Metazoa; Chordata; Actinopteri; Syngnathiformes; Syngnathidae.